UAAAAGUUAGUAUUAACGAGUAACGAAUGGAUGACUAGGUUGUUCCAAAUGGACGUAAAAAAAAACGAAAAGUCGACUAUAAGAAACUAUGAAAGUCGAAUAUCCACAUGGGAAACCAAUAAAAAGUAACCCUGGGAACUGAAACAUCUUAGUACCGGGAGGAAAAGAAAUCAAGCGAGAUUCCGUAAGUAGUGGCGAGCGAAAGCGGAUUAUGAUGGAUUAAAAACCAAAGAGGGUACAAGUCCCGUAGAUCUAUCUUAAAGUCUUUAUAGUAGAACUAUUUGAAGAUAGGUGAAUCACACAUCUAAGACUAAAUAUUGGAACAAUCCGAUAGUGAACAAGUACUGUGAAGGAAUGUUGAAAGAGAGUAAAUAUCUUAAGGCCCCUAGAGGUAAAUGGAUAUGAAGUGAAACAGAGCCUGAAAUUCGUUAACUUACAAGCAGUGUGUAAACACGUACCUUUUGUAUAAUGGGUUCGCGAGAAUAAGAUUUGGCAAACUUAAGUUGAUAAACGAAGGUGUAGCGAAAGCGAGUUUUAAUAGAGCGUAAAUAUUUCAGUCAAAUUGAACCCGAAACCAAGUGAUCUAGUCAUGGACAGUUUGAAGCUGAUUUAACAGUUAGUGGAGGAACGAACCGGUGAUUGUAGCAAAAAUCUCGGAUGAUCUGUGACUAGCAGUGAAAUGCUAAUCGAACUUGGAAAUAGCUGGUUUUCUGCGAAAUCUAUAUAAGUAGAGCAUCAUAUAUUAUUCUUACAUUGUAAAGCACUAGAUGAUGUUGGAGGCACCAAGCCGGCCACAUCAACUAAACUCUGAAUGUGGAAGAAUUUAAGUAUGGUAGACAGACAAUGGGCGACCAGGUCUAUUGUCGAGAGGGAAACAGCCCAGAUCAGAAGUUAAGGUCACUAAAAAACUCUAAGUGUCAAAGGAAAUCUAUCAAUUAAGACAAUGAGGAAGUAGGCUUGGAGCCAGCCAUCUUUGUAAGAUUACGUAACAGUUCACUCAAUGAAUUUAUAGAUUCCAAAAAUUAAGGUGGCUUAAGUUUUAACCGAAACUCUGAAUAAUAUAUAUGGUAGCAGAACGUACUGUAUGAAACUAGCGAAAAGCGUGUAUCAGUAGUGAUAAUGCGAACAUGAGUAAAAAACAGUGUGAGAAACACUGAUCACCGCCUAAGGGUUCCAAUUAAAGGAUAAUCCUAAUUGGGUUAGACAGCCCCUAAGAGACACUGCCAAAGCAGAUUCUUAAUGGGUCGUCCAAUAAUAUACGCUCUAAUGGGCCAAGAAAUAAUUAUUGGAUAAGGACUGUACUAUAAACUGACUCAAGUGGGCGUAAAGUGAUGGUAAAAUUUAUCUUAAGGAACUCGGCAAAAUAACCCCGUAAGUUCGCAAGAAGGGGUGCCAACCUAACCCCGCAAUCAAUCGUGGAUUAGGUGGUCGCAGAAAAGAGGGAGUGCCGACUGUUUACCAAAAACACAGCUUCCAGCAAAUAUUAGAAAUAGUAGUAUUGGAGGUGAGGCCUGCCCAAUGAUUGUAUCCGAAACCAAGUGGUGAUUAAGCUAUUUGGGUAAGGACAAUUAAAUGGCCGCGGUAAAACUGACCGUGAUAAUGUAGCGCAAUCAAUAGCCAAUUAAUUGUUGGCAAGUAUGAAUGGCGUAACGAGUGCUCCACUGUCUCAAGAUAAAAACCAAUGAAAUUGAAUUCGUAGUGAAGAUGCUACGUACAAAUUGUUAGACGAGAAGACCCCAUUGAGCUUUACUGGAAACUUAUACUGUUCACAUCAAAUUAAUUGUAUUAUUGGUGGGAGGAGUGUAUAGAACACUCUAAAACCACUCUUUAAUUUUGAGGGGGACUUAGACGGCAAGGCCGACGAAACGUGUAAGUCAGACAGUUUGGUUGGGGCGACCGCCUUCUAAAAAGUAACGAAGGCGUACACAGGGUAAAGAUAUAAUAGCAUAAAGCCUGACUGUAAAGAUGACAAUCUGAGCAGGGCCUAUAUGGGCGGUUAUAAUGACCCGUUAAUAUAGAGUGAAAUAGUUAACGAUCAACGGAUAAAAGUUACCAUGGGGAUAACAGCGUAAUAUCGUUCAAGAGUUCAUAUCGACGACGAUGUUUGCGACCUCGAUGUUGAAUUGCGGUAUCCUGGAGGUGUAGCCGCUUCCAAGGGUUGGACUGUUCGUCCAUUAAAACCGUACAUGAUUUGAGUUCAGUGCAUCGUGAGAUAGCACGGUUUCUAUCUACAAUUUGUAAAGGAAACAUUAUAUAUAUUAUCUUCUAGUACGAAAGGACCGAAGGAUAAUCGUCCACUGGUGUACCAAUUGUAAUUACAUGUUGGGUAGCUACGACGAAAAGUAUAAUCGCUGAAUGCAUCUAAAGCGAGAAGACUAAUAUAAUUUUUUGUUUCCGUCGUUUAACGACUCAGGGCCGUUCAAGAUAAGGACGUUAAUAGGAUCUGUGUGUGAACUACAGCAAUGUAGUCCGCUUAAGAUUACUAAUGCCCGGCAUACUAAAUUUU
This 2506-nucleotide ribosomal RNA is filed under the name Oscarella viridis. RNAcentral describes it as "large subunit ribosomal RNA". It matches the Rfam family "Bacterial large subunit ribosomal RNA". Lineage: Eukaryota; Metazoa; Porifera; Homoscleromorpha; Homosclerophorida; Oscarellidae. The record is from RNAcentral.